AUAUCACUGGUUCCUAUAUGUCCACCAAAGCUAAGCAAUGUCAAGCUUGGUCAGUACCUAGAUGGGUGACCACUUGGGAAUACCAAGAGCUGUAAG
Acanthosepion pharaonis is the source of this 96-nucleotide non-coding RNA. The record is from the annotation of a GenBank genome assembly. NCBI's taxonomy places the organism in Eukaryota, Metazoa, Mollusca, Cephalopoda, Sepiida, Sepiidae.